This 440-nucleotide RNase P RNA is filed under the name Ammonifex degensii. RNAcentral's name for it is "RNase P RNA component class A". It matches the Rfam family "Bacterial RNase P class A". From Rfam's summary of the family: Ribonuclease P (RNase P) is a ubiquitous endoribonuclease, found in archaea, bacteria and eukarya as well as chloroplasts and mitochondria. The record is from RNAcentral. Lineage: Bacteria; Bacillati; Bacillota; Clostridia; Thermoanaerobacterales; Thermoanaerobacteraceae.
UGAGUAAACCGGGUGGUCGCGGGUGCAAGAAUUGCACCUGAGGAAAGUCCGAGCUCCACAGGGCAGGGUGCCGGGUAACACCCGGCGGGGGCGACCCCAGGGAAAGUGCCACAGAAAUGCAGACCGCCCAACACUCAACUGAGAGGAAUGGUAGCACUUACCACAGUCGCCGAAGUGAGAAGAAAAACUUCCAUGUUGGAAACUCGAGGAAUCGUCUCUCUGAGUUGAGUGUUGGGUAAGGGUGCAACGGUGCGGUAAGAGCGCACCAGCGGUCGGGCAACCGGCCGGCUAGGUAAACCCCACCCGGAGCAAGGCCGCGUAGGGGGACCAUGGAGUGGCCCGCUCCGUCCCCGGGUAGGCCGCACGAGACGCCCGGGCAACCGGCGUCCCAGAUAGAUGACCACCCUCGACAGAACUCGGCUUACAGGUUUACUCACCCG